Molecule: ribosomal RNA, 497 nt
Filed under: uncultured bacterium
Lineage: Bacteria
Description: partial 16S ribosomal RNA
Rfam family: Bacterial small subunit ribosomal RNA
Source: RNAcentral
GAUGAACGCUGGCGGCGUGCCUAAUACAUGCAAGUCGAGCGAACGGACGAGAAGCUUGCUUUUCUGAUGUUAGCGGCGGACGGGUGAGUAACACGUGGAUAACCUACCUAUAAGACUGGGAUAACUUCGGGAAACCGGAGCUAAUAUCGGAUAAUAUUUUGAACCGCAUGGUUCAAAAGUGAAAGACGGUCUUGCUGUCACUUAUAGAUGGAUCCGCGCUGCAUUAGCUAGUUGGUAAGGUAACGGCUUACCAAGGCAACGAUGCAUAGCCGACCUGAGAGGGUGAUCGGCCACACUGGAACUGGGGAACGGUCCAGACUCCUAAGGGAGGCAGCAGUAGGGAAUCUUCCGCAAUGGGCGAAAGCCUGACGGAGCAACGCCGCGUGAGUGAUGAAGGUCUUCGGAUCGUAAAACUCUGUUAUUAGGGAAGAACAUAUGUGGAAGGAACUGUGCACAUCUUGACGGUACCUAAUCAGAAAGCCACGGCUAACUACGUG